UUUUAUCUUACACACGCAUGGGGAGAAAAUAACAAGUAGCAUUCACUAAAUCAUAGAGAUCCAGAUAUCUGGCACAUCAGAACUAUCCUCAGUCCUUCACUGGUCUCUGCCUUAAUGUCAAAUGCCGCAGAAAGACAGCUGAAGCCUACAGGCCACCGACUUUGAUCUCUGUGUAGAGCCAGCUCAGGCUUCGGAAAAUGAGAUGAGACAUUUAGAAGACCCUUUAAAGCAGGAGCAAUUAUCUCUAAGACUUGCAUUGAGGUGAUGGGGCGUGAUGUCACAUGGGGGCGGAGUCCUGAUGUCACGGACUUCCAUUCCCGUGGUCGCGACCGAGACCUUCCAGCGCUUCCGGACAAGAAACAGAUAAAGUCGACUCCCAGAGAGGGAAAUCUGGCUCCAAGAGGAAGCAUCUUGUUUCCUAUGAGUGUGACAUCAGCCAAAAGAGUCGGUGAGGUGCAGGCCUUUUCGACCUUCAAACCAUAUACAAAGUUCCUUCAGGAUCAGGACCUUCUGAGGUUCAUUCCAACCUUUGUGCUGAAGAUGCCUUCUUUCAGGAAUCUGAAUUAAAAGGUCCCAACAAGUGCUAAACACUCUUGAUGUGUCAAGAUGCCUCUGGAUCUAUAUGGAUAGAUUAUCCUAUUUGUCGGUAAUCGGUAACCUACUAUUAGUAGGUGUAUUAAGGAAGCGAUUAGGGAAGCCGAUGUCGCACAGUCUAUCCCAGACUUCGUAAGAGCCCAUUCAUCUAGGGCUGUAGCGACUUCAUUCUCAGAAAAAAGCUUGCUCUCUUUGGAAUUCAUCUGCAGCGCAGUCUUGUUGAGCACCGAGUCUACUUUUAUCUCCCAUUAUAGGCUUGAUGCUAGGAUGUCUGAUUAUUUGCCCAUAGGGCAAACUGUACUAAGUUCUGUCAGGCAGGAGAGUCCUCCAAUAAGGGUCCUUUUCUUGCUAACUCCCCAUUUGUGCUGCUGGUAGGAUGUAAGGGAAUUGUUAAUUUCUAACAAUAAUUUGUUGUCCCUUAGUCCUAACAGCAGCACACAAAUAUCCCACCCUAGUUUUUGGUUUACUUGUUAUGACACAGUGAGCUGGGGGUGAUCUCUCUCUCUCUAUAAAGGGUCAUAUUUACUUUAAUUCUAUUGUUACUACUUGGGCUCAUUAACAUUUCCGUCAUCUUACCCAUCCAUGGGUAGUUAACCCCAUCUGUGCUGCUGUUAGGACUAAAAAAAAUAUUGUUAAAAUGAUCAAUUUUUCUUUCACAGUUAAUACAGGACUGUACAAUUAAGACUUAUUCCUUAUUUUCCUCCUUUCCAGUAGUAUAUAUCAUUAUUUGAUACCAUUUAUUACCUUUUGUACUAC
This is a long non-coding RNA of Hyla sarda, 1350 nucleotides long. RefSeq lists it as uncharacterized. Lineage: Eukaryota; Metazoa; Chordata; Amphibia; Anura; Hylidae. The transcript has 3 exons. The record is from RefSeq and is a predicted model, not a curated record.